RNAcentral lists this unclassified non-coding RNA (213 nucleotides) under Hevea brasiliensis (rubber tree). The record is from RNAcentral. Lineage: Eukaryota; Viridiplantae; Streptophyta; Magnoliopsida; Malpighiales; Euphorbiaceae.
GCCACAGAAUCUAUAAAAGUCCGGAAAACCUUGUAGUCGAGCAUUCUCACGAAUUGUAAGUACCCUAUCUUGAAGGGGAUGCAAAAUAAUCUGAUUGUGAGGUUCUGCUCUGGUAACAACUGUUGGAACAGUCACAUCCCACCACAGUCGACCAAAUGGUUUGGGUGAUUUUCCAUCAACAAAGGACAUUGCAUACUCAGGAACCAAGGGAUU